RNAcentral lists this transfer RNA (69 nucleotides) under Marmota monax (woodchuck). RNAcentral's name for it is "tRNA.Cys". The record is from RNAcentral. Lineage: Eukaryota; Metazoa; Chordata; Mammalia; Rodentia; Sciuridae.
GGGGUUGUGGCUCAGUGGUAGAGCUCGCCUAGCACAUGCGAGGCCCUCGGCUCGAUCCUCGGAACCACA